GUACGAGAGGACCGGGAUGGACAUACCUCUGGUGUACCAGUUGUCGUGCCAACGGCAUAGCUGGGUAGCUAUGUGUGGACGGGAUAAGUGCUGAAAGCAUCUAAGCAUGAAGCCCCCCUCAAGAUGAGAUUUCCCAACUUCGGUUAUAAGAUCCCUCAAAGAUGAUGAGGUUAAUAGGUUCGAGGUGGAAGCAUGGUGACAUGUGGAGCUGACGAAUACUAAUCGAUCGAAGACUUAAUCAAAA
This 244-nucleotide ribosomal RNA is filed under the name Staphylococcus aureus. Its description in RNAcentral is "partial 23S ribosomal RNA". It matches the Rfam family "Bacterial large subunit ribosomal RNA", at positions 2681 to 2925 of the family's 2925-position model. The record is from RNAcentral. Lineage: Bacteria; Bacillati; Bacillota; Bacilli; Caryophanales; Staphylococcaceae.